RNAcentral lists this ribosomal RNA (364 nucleotides) under uncultured bacterium. RNAcentral's name for it is "bacterial SSU rRNA". It matches the Rfam family "Bacterial small subunit ribosomal RNA", at positions 372 to 759 of the family's 1533-position model. The record is from RNAcentral.
AAUUCGAUUGAAUGGCGAGCUGUCACCUUCCCUGUAAAAGGCUUCGGUUGAAACUGUUUUGACGGACAAAUUCGUUUAUUAGAUGGUGUGCGGUCCUUGAAUAACCCGCUAACUCGUGCCACACCCGGAAUACUAGGGUGAAGCGUUAAUCGGAAUUACUGGGCGUAAAGCGUGCGCAGGCGGUUAUGUAAGACAGAUGUGAAAUCCCCGGGCUCAACCUGGGAACUGCGUUUGAGACUGUAUAACUAGAAUACGGCAGAGGGGGGUGGAAUUCCCCGUGUAGCAGUGAAAUGCGUAGAUAUGCGGAGGAACACCGAUGGCGAAGGCAAUCCCCUGGGACUGUACUGACGCUCAUGCACGAAAG